RNAcentral lists this ribosomal RNA (497 nucleotides) under uncultured bacterium. RNAcentral's name for it is "partial 16S ribosomal RNA". It matches the Rfam family "Bacterial small subunit ribosomal RNA", at positions 28 to 507 of the family's 1533-position model. The record is from RNAcentral.
GACGAACGCUGGCGGCGUGCCUAAUACAUGCAAGUAGAACGCUGAAGAGAGGGGCUUGCUCUUCUUGGAUGAGUUGCGAACGGGCGAGUAACGCGUAGGUAACCUGCCUUGUAGCGGGGGAUAACUAUUGGAAACGAUAGCUAAUACCGCAUAACAAUGGAUGACACAUGUCAUUUAUUUGAAAGGGGCAAUUGCUCCACUACAAGAUGGACCUGCGUUGUAUUAGCUAGUAGGUGAGGUAAUGGCUCACCUAGGCGACGAUACAUAGCCGACCUGAGAGGGUGGUCGGCCACACUGGGACUGAGACACGGCCCAGACUCCUACGGGAGGCAGCAGUAGGGAAUCUUCGGCAAUGGGGGCAACCCUGACCGCGCAACGCCGCGUGAGUGAAGAAGGUUUUCGGAUCGUAAAGCUCUGUUGUAAGUCAAGAACGGGUGUGAGAGUGGAAAGUUCACACUAUGACGGUAGCUUACCAGAAAGGGACGGCUAACUACGUG